Molecule: ribosomal RNA, 469 nt
Filed under: uncultured bacterium
Lineage: Bacteria
Description: bacterial SSU rRNA
Rfam family: Bacterial small subunit ribosomal RNA
Source: RNAcentral
GGCUAACGCUGGCGGCGUGCCUCAAACAUGCAAGUCGAGCGAGGCUAUGAGUUACCGCAAGGUAAGGCAUAGCCUAGCGGCGAACGGGUGAGUAACACGUGGGUAACCUACCUGGAAGACAGGGAUAACGAUUCGAAAGGGUCGCUAAUACCUGAUAAUAUCCGUCUGCCGGAUGGCGGAGGGAAGAAAGGGGAAACCCGCUUUCAGAUGGGCCCGCGUCCCAUCAGCUAGUUGGUAAGGUAAAGGCUUACCAAGGCGACGACGGGUAGCCGGUCUGAGAGGAUGUACGGCCACACUGGGACUGAGAUACGGCCCAGACUCCUACGGGAGGCAGCAGUUGGGAAUCUUAGGCAAUGGACGAAAGUCUGACCUAGCGACGCCGCGUGAGGGAAGAAGGCCUCGGUUGUAACUCUGUCAUGGGGAGAAGGAAGUGACGGUACCCAACGAGGAAGCCCUCGCUAACUACGUG